UAAAGGUAUUCCGGUAGACGAUGGGGAUGCGUUCCAUUAGAUAGUAGGCGGGGUAACGGCCCACCUAGUCUUCGAUGGAUAGGGGUUCUGAGAGGAAGGUCCCCCACAUUGGAACUGAGACACGGUCCAAACUCCUACGGGAGGCAGCAGUGAGGAAUAUUGGUCAAUGGGCGAGAGCCUGAACCAGCCAAGUAGCGUGAAGGAUGACUGCCCUAUGGGUUGUAAACUUCUUUUAUAAAGGAAUAAAGUCGGGUAUGGAUACCCGUUUGCAUGUACUUUAUGAAUAAGGAUCGGCUAACUCCGUGCCAGCAGCCGCGGUAAUACGGAGGAUCCGAGCGUUAUCCGGAUUUAUUGGGUUUAAAGGGAGCGUAGAUGGAUGUUUAAGUCAGUUGUGAAAGUUUGCGGCUCAACCGUAAAAUUGCAGUUGAUACUGGAUAUCUUGAGUGCAGUUGAGGCAGGCGGAAUUCGUGGUGUAGCGGUGAAAUGCUUAGAUAUCACGAAGAACUCCGAUUGCGAAGGCAGCCUGCUAAGCUGCAACUGACAUUGAGGCUCGAAAGUGUGGGUAUCAAACAGGAUUAGAUACCCUGGUAGUCCACACGGUAAACGAUGAAUACUCG
This 617-nucleotide ribosomal RNA is filed under the name uncultured bacterium. RNAcentral's name for it is "bacterial SSU rRNA". It matches the Rfam family "Bacterial small subunit ribosomal RNA", at positions 202 to 819 of the family's 1533-position model. The record is from RNAcentral.